RNAcentral lists this long non-coding RNA (243 nucleotides) under Ananas comosus (pineapple). RNAcentral's name for it is "long non-coding RNA (ACOM_LNC001806)". The record is from RNAcentral. Lineage: Eukaryota; Viridiplantae; Streptophyta; Magnoliopsida; Poales; Bromeliaceae.
UUCUUUUGAAAAUAUAACAGAAAAACAAUAACAAGUUAUUUCUAUUCUACUUUUGAGAGAGAGAAGGUUAAUGAAAAGUGUUCUUUUGGUGGAGCUUUGGGCUCAUCCACUUGUGCAGAGUUGGUGAAGCCACAUGAUGAGGGUCGAGCUGUUAUAUCCUGGAGGGGACAAGUCAGUAUUUGUAAUACACUGAACUUUAGCAAAUUGCGAAGUUCGAGUGUGUGGAAUGAUAUGUGGAUCUAU